RNAcentral lists this ribosomal RNA (492 nucleotides) under uncultured bacterium. RNAcentral's name for it is "partial 16S ribosomal RNA". It matches the Rfam family "Bacterial small subunit ribosomal RNA", at positions 29 to 507 of the family's 1533-position model. The record is from RNAcentral.
AUUGAACGCUGGCGGCAUGCUUUACACAUGCAAGUCGAGCGGUAACAGGCCUUCGGGUGCUGACGAGUGGCGAACGGGUGAGUAAUGCAUCGGAACGUACCCAGAGGUGGGGGAUAACGCAGCGAAAGCUGUGCUAAUACCGCAUGUGAUCUGAGGAUGAAAGCGGGGGACCGAGCAGCAAUGUUUGGCCUCGCGCCUUUGGAGCGGCCGAUGUCGGAUUAGCUAGUUGGUGGGGUAAAGGCCUACCAAGGCGACGAUCCGUAGCUGGUCUGAGAGGACGACCAGCCACACUGGGACUGAGACACGGCCCAGACUCCUACGGGGGGCAGCGGUGGGGAAUUUUGGACAAUGAGCGCAAGCCUGAUCCAGCAAUGCCGCGUGCUGGAAGAAGGCCUUCGGGUUGUAAACCGCUUUUGGCAGGAACGAAGCGGUGUCCGCUAAUACCGGGCGCUAAUGACGGUACCUGCAGAAUAAGCACCGGCUAACUACGUG